Molecule: non-coding RNA, 142 nt
Organism: Gossypium raimondii (Peruvian cotton)
Lineage: Eukaryota; Viridiplantae; Streptophyta; Magnoliopsida; Malvales; Malvaceae
Source: Rfam
UAUUAUAUAUUUCAUCCAUUUCUACGGUUAAAAACUAGCGUGGCUGAUAUAAUAACCAAAAAAUUGCACGUAGCGUACCAUAUACCUCAUUCUGACAUACAAGGACUGAUUUUUAACAGUAGCAAUGGAUGAAAUUUUACUC